This 76-nucleotide transfer RNA is filed under the name Alphaproteobacteria bacterium. RNAcentral's name for it is "tRNA-Lys". It matches the Rfam family "tRNA". From Rfam's summary of the family: Transfer RNA (tRNA) molecules are approximately 80 nucleotides in length. Their secondary structure includes four short double-helical elements and three loops (D, anti-codon, and T loops). The record is from RNAcentral. Lineage: Bacteria; Pseudomonadati; Pseudomonadota; Alphaproteobacteria.
GGGCGCAUAGCUCAGUCGGUAGAGCAGCUGACUCUUAAUCAGCGGGUCGCAGGUUCGAAUCCUGCUGCGCCCACCA